RNAcentral lists this transfer RNA (76 nucleotides) under Bermanella marisrubri. Its description in RNAcentral is "tRNA-Val". It matches the Rfam family "tRNA". Rfam says of the family: Transfer RNA (tRNA) molecules are approximately 80 nucleotides in length. Their secondary structure includes four short double-helical elements and three loops (D, anti-codon, and T loops). Lineage: Bacteria; Pseudomonadati; Pseudomonadota; Gammaproteobacteria; Oceanospirillales; Oceanospirillaceae. The record is from RNAcentral. RNAcentral also lists the same sequence under 7 other names.
GGGUGAUUAGCUCAGCUGGGAGAGCACCUCCCUUACAAGGAGGGGGUCGGCAGUUCGAUCCUGUCAUCACCCACCA